GUGGAUGUAGCUCAGCUGGUAGAGCUCCGGAUUGUGGAUCCGGCGGCCGUGGGUUCAAGUCCCAUCAUCCACCCCA
RNAcentral lists this transfer RNA (76 nucleotides) under Thermoleophilia bacterium. RNAcentral's name for it is "tRNA-His". It matches the Rfam family "tRNA". From Rfam's summary of the family: Transfer RNA (tRNA) molecules are approximately 80 nucleotides in length. Their secondary structure includes four short double-helical elements and three loops (D, anti-codon, and T loops). Lineage: Bacteria; Bacillati; Actinomycetota; Thermoleophilia. RNAcentral also lists the same sequence under 1 other name. The record is from RNAcentral.